This 424-nucleotide ribosomal RNA is filed under the name uncultured bacterium. RNAcentral describes it as "bacterial SSU rRNA". It matches the Rfam family "Bacterial small subunit ribosomal RNA", at positions 355 to 796 of the family's 1533-position model. The record is from RNAcentral.
UGGGGAAUUUUGCGCAAUGGGGGAAACCCUGACGCAGCAACGCCGCGUGGAGGAUGAAGUACUUCGGUACGUAAACUCCUUUCGAUCGGGACGAUUAUGACGGUACCGGAAGAAGAAGCCCCGGCUAACUUCGUGCCAGCAGCCGCGGUAAUACGAGGGGGGCAAGCGUUGUUCGGAAUUAUUGGGCGUAAAGGGUGCGUAGGCGGUUUGGUAAGUCUUUUGUGAAAUCUAUGGGCUCAACUCAUAGACUGCAAGGGAAACUGCCGGGCUUGAGUAUGGGAGAGGUGAGUGGAAUUUCCGGUGUAGCGGUGAAAUGCGUAGAUAUCGGAAGGAACACCUGUGGCGAAAGCGGCUCACUGGACCAUAACUGACGCUGAUGCACGAAAGCUAGGGGAGCAAACAGGAUUAGAUACCCCGGUAGUCC